Hydra vulgaris (swiftwater hydra) is the source of this 795-nucleotide non-coding RNA. NCBI's taxonomy places the organism in Eukaryota, Metazoa, Cnidaria, Hydrozoa, Anthoathecata, Hydridae. The record is from RefSeq and is a predicted model, not a curated record.
AUCCAAAGCAAUGAUAGUUUGUAUAUAAAAAAAGAAAUGAUAAUUUCUUGAAAUUCGUGGGGCCCAAGGCCGCGGCCUAGUUGAACUAUAGAAACUUCGAUCCAUUUCUUGGUUUGACACUUCACUAUAUCUCAAAGAACUGGACCCUAGAGAAGCUGCUGGUGUAUUGUGGAAAUGCAGAGGGUAGACAUACAUCUCAAAACAUUGCUGAACUUCUUGACAAGGCAAUUAGUGAGAUUGUAGGCCUUCCAUCAAAUGUCCACAAGACCUGCACAAGUGAUUAUGCAGCUAAUAUGCUAGUAGCCAUCCCAAAACUGACAGAAGAAAUUCAGGAGGGCCUUGGGUGUGUUGACCAUAUACUUAACCUUGUGGUGACUGAGUGUCUCGGCAUCCCUGAAGUAAAGAAUGCUGUUGAUGCAUUCAAGAAAUUGUCAUCCAGAACUCACAAAAGCAGCAUUGCUCAACGAGGAUUAAGAAAGAGUGUGCCAGGAUAAACAAUCAAUCUAAGGAUGAUACAAACAUUGAAACUGUUGAAUUUGUCAAAAUCAUUGCACCUGUUGAAACCCGCUGGAAUUCCAUCUUGAUGAUGAUGCGAUCUAUUUUAAAGUUGAGGCCAGCUUUUGAGAGGAUCAAAGAGGACUUCAGCAAGGGAACUGAUCCCAAGAUAAGAGAAAAAAUCUCUACAUCAGAGGAAUUUGAACAGAUUGUUGCCAUCAUUGGUCCACUCACCAAGAUUGAAGAGAUGUCUUUAUUCUUUUCUUCUGACCAAAAAUCAACCAUCUGCUAUGUGGUGUC